RNAcentral lists this non-coding RNA (26 nucleotides) under Toxicodendron vernicifluum (Chinese lacquer tree). The record is from RNAcentral. Lineage: Eukaryota; Viridiplantae; Streptophyta; Magnoliopsida; Sapindales; Anacardiaceae. RNAcentral also lists the same sequence under 3 other names.
CUGGGAAGUCCUCGUGUUGCACCCCU